RNAcentral lists this ribosomal RNA (446 nucleotides) under uncultured bacterium. RNAcentral describes it as "bacterial SSU rRNA". It matches the Rfam family "Bacterial small subunit ribosomal RNA", at positions 329 to 792 of the family's 1533-position model. The record is from RNAcentral.
CUCCAGACUCCUACGGGAGGCAGCAGUGGGGGAUAUUGCACAAUGGGGGAAACCCUGAUGCAGCAACGCCGCGUGAGUGAAGAAGGUCUUCGGAUUGUAAAGCUCUGUUCUUGGUGAAGAUAAUGACGGUACCUGAAGAAGAAGCCCCGGCUAACUACGUGCCAGCAGCCGCGGUAAUACGUAGGGGGCAAGCGUUAUCCGGAUUUACUGGGUGUAAAGGGGGCGCAGACGGCGAUGCAAGCCAGGAGUGAAAGCCCGGGGCCCAACCCCGGGACUGCUCUUGGAACUGCGUGGCUGGAGUGCAGGAGGGGCAGGCGGAAUUCCUGGUGUAGCGGUGAAAUGCGUAGAUAUCAGGAGGAACACCGGUGGCGAAGGCGGCCUGCUGGACUGCAACUGACGUUGAGGCCCGAAAGCGUGGGGAGCAGACAGGAUUAGAUACCCCUGUA